GGGAGGCUACCAGAUUUUGCAGAGCUUCUAAUAUGUUACUCUGCUGUUCAAAAAAUUCUCUUGUGGACUUCUAGCACACUUAAAGUACAAUCCAGAGUUAUCAUGGAUAAUCCAAAGGUCUUAUCAUGGCCUGUAGGACCCUGCAUGAUCUAGCCAUUGACUCUCUGAUCUCAUUUCCUGUCUUUGUUGCUCUUGCUUAGUACACUCCACCACCUACGCUGAUCUUUUAGCCAAGCACACUCUUACUUUAAAGCCUUUGCACUUGUCCUUCCCACUGUAUGGAAACCUCUGGUCCCUCCUCACAUGUUUCUUCUGUAGAGAGACCUUCCCAGGUCAUCCUGUACAAAACCGUAUCUCUGGUCACUUCACUCAAGCCCCUUACCCUAAUUUGUUUUUCAUUAUAGCCCUCACAACUGUCUGACAUGUACAGUAUUGAUUGUUCAACUGUUUACUGUUUGUCUCCUCCAUGAGAAUGUCUGCUUCAUGGGGAGUUUGUUCAUCACAGAUUCUUUGGUACCUGGACUAGUGCCUGACACAUGAAGGGCAAGGAAAAGAAUGAUGGUGGGAGAAAACACAUCUGGUUUGUCCCCCAAAGGCCGCUCUUCAAGAGGAGCUUGAAAAGAUCAAGGUGCACCAUGUCAUAAAUUAAAGGAGCUGUAGCUAAGUUAUUAGGAUAGAAGCCUUGGAUACCACUGUGGAUAUUGGGGGCAUAUUGGUGGUACAGCCAAUCUUACCUUUAGGAUUACCUUGGAUUAUCCUCCAAGUCAGGCAGCAGAGACUGAAGUUUCUGGUGCAAUAGCAAGUACCAGCCUGGUUAAGCACAGAAGGAUGUUUGAAUGCAGUCUUAUUUUAUAUGUGGUCAACUCUCCAGUGAACUAUUUUGGUUGUGACUUUUGCUUCCCUAUACAACUGCAGGAACUCGGAUAAUGAACAAUUAGAAAUAUGUAUCAGUAGGGUGCAGACAAAUAUUUCUAGAGAAAGGAUGAUGACAACACAGAAGGACAGCCCUCAGCUGACCAGUGGUAGACAUACAGCUUGGGUGGAAAAGAAGACCUGGCUUCUUGAGAAACAAAACAAAAUACAAGGAGAAGCAGCCUUGUAAGGAGAUGUGGUGCAGCUUUGGGAGUUAAUAGAAAGUUUUAAGCAUUGGGGCGCCUGGCUGGCUCAGUCGGUUGAGCGUCCGACUUCGCCUCAGGUCAUGAUCUCGUGGUUUGUGAGGUCCAGCCCCACGUCGGGCUCUGUGCUGACAGCUCAGAGCCUGGAGCCUGCUUCGGAUUCUGUGUCUCCUCCUCUCUCUGCCCCUCCCCUGCUCAUGCUCUGUCUCUCUCUGUCUCUCAAUAAUAAAUAAACGUUAAAAAAAAAAAAAAACAAACUUGUAAGCAUUUAAGUCUAAUUAGAUCUUGGAACAUGAAAGAGAAGAUUCACAUGGAAGGAAAAAAAUCCUCCAUAUUGGAAUGGACAAUCUAUUCCGAGGGCAACCAACAGUCUUUUUCCUCUAUGUACUUCAUUGGUUUGGUGGACUCUUUUGACAUAAAGGAAAGGAGCUUCUGGUCACUUAAAAAAUGAGGGAGGGAAACAGAGUCAGCAGGAAUCACUUUGAGAGCCCACUGGGAAUUCUAGGAAGGCAACUUAGCAUGGUCUCUCUGGAAAGUUAUGUGUAGGUAGUUUAAAGACUUAAUAUUAAAGCCACAAGAAAAUCACUUAUAAGCCUGUUCUAAAUCCCUGAAGGGCUGGAGCCAUGUAUAUGAAGUUUAAAACUGUAUAAGACUUAUAAUUAUAAGAUAAAGAUCAGGGCAACUGUUUCUACUUAGGUCUGGGAAACAGAAGCAGGGUUUAAUCAUGCAAUGGCUCAUAGCAGUUGAACAUUAGCAAGAAAGGUACCAGACCAAACCAAGGUGUUAGUACGUCUGAAAAUUUGGCUCUGGCUCAAACUGUGAUUCACUAUAUUUGUAUCAAAUAGCUAUGAAUAUUUUAAAUAUGAUGCUUUAUUAUUUUAACAAAUAUUUUUAUCUAAGUUUUAGAAAUGUAGAGUCAUUUUGGAAGGAGAGUUCUAGCUGAACACCUCUAUUUACUGGAUGGCAGCUACAUAAAAUGCAGCCUGAAAGGUUAAGAAGGAAAAGAGCUCCUGAAGGUCUGGCCUUGUCACCUGAAGCCUAUAAUGUAAGGAGAAAAGUCACAGAAUCAAUGCAAGAGUAGAAAAUUCAUGACUGGAAGCAUUAGGAUGCACAAAGAGGACCAAAUCUAAAGCUCAGUUACAGAGGAAGAACAGGACUGCUGCCACUUUGCAAACAUUUCAAGAGGUCACCCUCUGUGGGGAGGAUGAAGUCAACAAGAUGAAUCUCCUCAGAGUAAUUGCUGGAUAGUGUUGACGAACGCUUGAAUCACGUCAUCGGACUGCAGCUGUACUGACAGCGGACCCCGAGCUGUCCUGCAUACUGUUGCUUUCGCCCUCCUAGGACGCGGCCAGGCCCCUGGAGACCUGGACAGCUGAAGCCGUAGACCCAGAACAUGGUCUCUCCCAUGGCAGAAAACCUGGUUGUGGGCUCUGCUUUGAAAUUCACUCUUGCAACACCAGACCCCCGCCACUGAGCACCAGCCGUAAAUGAAGGCAAAAGCUAGAGUUCAGGCGGAAGCUAAAAGUAAUUACAUGGCCUUGGCUGACCCUUUCAGGGAUAGAUUCUUCCAUUUAUAACAGAGACUAAAACAGAAAAAAACCCAUUGGAGGUGGUCAGGGCUGAAACAGUGUUUCUAGCGUCUUCCGGGUCACCACUCAGUAACUUAUUUCAAAUCGUUUUGAAUGGUGAGUUCUCACAUCCAGGUGUUCCUCUGCCUCACCUGUUGACAAAUGUCCUUACCAGUUUUUAUUCCAUUAGGCCUCAGCAUAGAAAAGUAACAAGCAUCUCAGGCUUCAGGGUUUUGAUUUUCAAAAUGAACAAAAUAAAAAAGAGGCCAACAAAAAAACCCAGACCCUUAAAUGCAGAGAACAGGCUGGUGGUU
Molecule: long non-coding RNA, 2997 nt
Organism: Acinonyx jubatus (cheetah)
Lineage: Eukaryota; Metazoa; Chordata; Mammalia; Carnivora; Felidae
Exons: 8
Source: RefSeq, a predicted model, not a curated record